Molecule: ribosomal RNA, 502 nt
Filed under: uncultured Glomeromycotina
Lineage: Eukaryota; Fungi; Glomeromycota
Description: partial small subunit ribosomal RNA
Rfam family: Eukaryotic small subunit ribosomal RNA
Source: RNAcentral
CCAAUAGCGUAUAUUAAAGUUGUUGCAGUUAAAAAGCUCGUAGUUGAAUUUCGGAAUCUGUCCAUCGGUCGAGCUUCACUGUUCGUACUGGUGUGGUGGGUUCUUACCUUCUGAAUAACCAGCAUGCCAUUCACUUGGUGCGUUGGGGAAGCAGGACUAUUACCUUGAAAAAAUUAGAGUGCUCAAAGCAGGCCAGCGCCUGAAUACAUUAGCAUGGAAUAAUAAAAUAGGACGGCUUGGUUCUAUUUUGUUGGUUUCUAGGAUCACCGUAAUGAUUAAUAGGGAUAGUUGGGGGCAUUAGUAUUCAAUUGUCAGAGGUGAAAUUCUUGGAUUUAUUGAAGACUAACUUCUGCGAAAGCAUUUGCCAAGGAUGUUUUCAUUAAUCAAGAACGAAAGUUAGGGGAUCGAAGACGAUCAGAUACCGUCGUAGUCUUAACCAUAAACUAUGCCGACUAGGGAUCGGACGAUGUUAAUUUUUUAAUGACUCGUUCGGCGCCUUACG